GACGAACGCUGGCGGCGUGCUUAACACAUGCAAGUCGAACGGUGAAGCUCCAGCUUGCUGGAGUGGAUCAGUGGCGAACGGGUGAGUAACACGUGAGCAACCUGCCCCUGACUCUGGAAUAAGCGCUGGAAACGGCGUCUAAUACUGGAUACGAGAAGGGUCCGCAUGGGCACUUUCUGGAAAGUUUUUCGGUUGGGGAUGGGCUCGCGGCCUAUCAGCUUGUUGGUGAGGUAAUGGCUCACCAAGGCGACGACGGUAGCCGGCCUGAGAGGGCGACCGGCCACACUGGGACUGAGACACGGCCCAGACUCCUACGGGAGGCAGCAGUGGGGAAUAUUGCACAAUGGGCGAAAGCCUGAUGCAGCGACGCCGCGUGAGGGAUGACGGCCUUCGGGUUGUAAACCUCUUUCAGCAGGGAAGAAGCGAAAGUGACGGUACCUGCAGAAGAAGCACCGGCUAACUACGUG
Molecule: ribosomal RNA, 467 nt
Filed under: uncultured bacterium
Lineage: Bacteria
Description: partial 16S ribosomal RNA
Rfam family: Bacterial small subunit ribosomal RNA
Source: RNAcentral